AGAUGAAGGACACGUAUUAAAUCAAAUGCCGGCACCACUAGAAGACGACACGUUGAAAGACCUUAUUCAAGCAACCUUUGCCUAUAAAUAUGUAUUCAUGAUCAAGGAAGGGGGCACGAGCGAUUUCACUCUCUAAACUUCUACUCUCUAAAACUCUCUCUUCUCUCUAUGCGAGGGUUAUGAUAAGGAUGCUCUCCUUAUUCAAGCAAUCUAGAAAAGGAUGCUCGUGCCCCCUUCCUUGAUCAUGAAUGCGUAUUUAUAGGCAAAGGUUGCUUGAAUAAGGUCUUUCAACGUGUCGUCUUCUAGUGGUGCCGGCAUUUGAUUUAUUAUUUGAAGAGCAUC
Molecule: non-coding RNA, 342 nt
Organism: Brassica rapa (field mustard)
Lineage: Eukaryota; Viridiplantae; Streptophyta; Magnoliopsida; Brassicales; Brassicaceae
Source: RefSeq, marked provisional